RNAcentral lists this ribosomal RNA (229 nucleotides) under uncultured bacterium. Its description in RNAcentral is "partial 16S ribosomal RNA". It matches the Rfam family "Bacterial small subunit ribosomal RNA", at positions 118 to 347 of the family's 1533-position model. The record is from RNAcentral.
UGAGUAACCUGCCCUGGACUUUGGGAUAACCCUCGGAAACGGGGGCUAAUACCGGAUAUGACAUGCUCUCGCAUGGGGGUGUGUGGAAAGUUUUUCGGUCUGGGAUGGGCUCGCGGCCUAUCAGCUUGUUGGUGGGGUGAUGGCCCACCAAGGCGACGACGGGUAGCUGGUCUGAGAGGAUGGCCAGCCACAUUGGGACUGAGACACGGCCCAGACUCCUACGGGAGCA